RNAcentral lists this ribosomal RNA (464 nucleotides) under uncultured bacterium. Its description in RNAcentral is "bacterial SSU rRNA". It matches the Rfam family "Bacterial small subunit ribosomal RNA", at positions 339 to 794 of the family's 1533-position model. The record is from RNAcentral.
UUACGGGAGGCAGCAGUGGGGAAUCUUCCGCAAUGGACGAAAGUCUGACGGAGCAACGCCGCGUGAGUGAUGAAGGUCUUCGGAUUGUAAAACUCUGUCAGGUGGGACGAAUGGGUGAUAGGUAAAUAGCCUAUUGCCGUGACGGUACCACCGAAGGAAGCCCCGGCUAACUACGUGCCAGCAGCCGCGGUAAUACGUAGGGGGCGAGCGUUGUCCGGAAUUACUGGGCGUAAAGCGCGCGCAGGCGGCCUGAUAAGUCAGGUGUGAAACCUUAAGGCUCAACCUUAAGCGGUCACUUGAAACUAUCGGGCUUGAGGGCAGGAGAGGAGAGCGGAAUUCCUAGUGUAGCGGUGAAAUGCGUAGAUAUUAGGAGGAACACCAGUGGCGAAGGCGGCUCUCUGGUCUGCAACUGACGCUGAGGCGCGAAAGCUGGGGGAGCAAACGGGAUUAGAUACCCCGGUAGU